GGAUGUGAGAGCAAUCUAGCUGUGACAUCUCUGACCCCAUUGAUUGCCAGAGCUAAUUUGCCUGAUCUGACUGGCUAGGCAGUGUCCCCUUCCUCCUUCACUGUGCCAUGUGCAUCCCUUCCAAAUCUGUGCGCUCCAGGGAAGAGGACAACCUUCUCAGGAGUGUACCAGCCUUCUGUGUAAUCCAAAUCACUUCACAGAACCUGUUGUAGUGUGGGUUUUGCGUAAAAUUAUCUUAAAAGGGACUAAAAUCUGAAAUGCAUUGAUUUUUGAAAUGUAAUUUUCUUU
RNAcentral lists this small nuclear RNA (288 nucleotides) under Ophiophagus hannah (king cobra). Its description in RNAcentral is "7SK RNA". It matches the Rfam family "7SK RNA". From Rfam's summary of the family: 7SK was discovered as an abundant small nuclear RNA in the mid-70s but a possible function has only recently been suggested. Two independent studies have found that 7SK RNA binds the CDK9/cyclin T complex (known as elongation factor P-TEFb). Lineage: Eukaryota; Metazoa; Chordata; Lepidosauria; Squamata; Elapidae. The record is from Rfam by way of RNAcentral.